GACCCCGCACAAGCGGCGGAGCAUGCGGCUUAAUUCGAUGAUACCCGUAGAACCUUACCAGGACUUAAAUGUAAGUUGCAUGAUUCAGAAAUGAAUCUUUCUUCGGACUACUUACAAGGUGCUGCAUGGUUGUCGUCAGCUCGUGCCGUGAGGUGUCAGGUUAAGUCCUAUAACGAGCGCAACCCCUAUCGUUAGUUGCCAUCAAGUAAAGUUGGGAACUCUAGCGAAACUGCCGGUGCAAACCGAGAGGAAGGUGGGGAUGACGUCAAAUCAUCACGGCCCUUACGUUCUGGGCUACACACGUGCUACAAUGGUCGGUACAGAAAGCAGCCACUAUGCGAAUAGGAGCUAAUCUUUAAAACCGAUCUCAGUUCGGAUCGCAGUCUGCAACUCGACUGCGUGAAGCUGGAAUCGCUAGUAAUCGGAUAU
Molecule: ribosomal RNA, 429 nt
Filed under: uncultured bacterium
Lineage: Bacteria
Description: bacterial SSU rRNA
Rfam family: Bacterial small subunit ribosomal RNA
Source: RNAcentral